GGGAUUAUAGUUUAUUUAAAACAUUUAAUUUGCAAUUAAAAAUAACUUUAUAGUUUUUCUCA
Molecule: transfer RNA, 62 nt
Filed under: Macropes robustus
Lineage: Eukaryota; Metazoa; Arthropoda; Insecta; Hemiptera; Blissidae
Also listed under: 3 other names
Description: tRNA-Ala
Source: RNAcentral